This 818-nucleotide ribosomal RNA is filed under the name Escherichia coli. RNAcentral describes it as "partial 23S ribosomal RNA". It matches the Rfam family "Bacterial large subunit ribosomal RNA", at positions 1088 to 1890 of the family's 2925-position model. Lineage: Bacteria; Pseudomonadati; Pseudomonadota; Gammaproteobacteria; Enterobacterales; Enterobacteriaceae. The record is from RNAcentral.
GACAGCCAGGAUGUUGGCUUAGAAGCAGCCAUCAUUUAAAGAAAGCGUAAUAGCUCACUGGUCGAGUCGGCCUGCGCGGAAGAUGUAACGGGGCUAAACCAUGCACCGAAGCUGCGGCAGCGACGCUUAUGCGUUGUUGGGUAGGGGAGCGUUCUGUAAGCCUGUGAAGGUGUGCUGUGAGGCAUGCUGGAGGUAUCAGAAGUGCGAAUGCUGACAUAAGUAACGAUAAAGCGGGUGAAAAGCCCGCUCGCCGGAAGACCAAGGGUUCCUGUCCAACGUUAAUCGGGGCAGGGUGAGUCGACCCCUAAGGCGAGGCCGAAAGGCGUAGUCGAUGGGAAACAGGUUAAUAUUCCUGUACUUGGUGUUACUGCGAAGGGGGGACGGAGAAGGCUAUGUUGGCCGGGCGACGGUUGUCCCGGUUUAAGCGUGUAGGCUGGUUUUCCAGGCAAAUCCGGAAAAUCAAGGCUGAGGCGUGAUGACGAGGCACUACGGUGCUGAAGCAACAAAUGCCCUGCUUCCAGGAAAAGCCUCUAAGCAUCAGGUAACAUCAAAUCGUACCCCAAACCGACACAGGUGGUCAGGUAGAGAAUACCAAGGCGCUUGAGAGAACUCGGGUGAAGGAACUAGGCAAAAUGGUGCCGUAACUUCGGGAGAAGGCACGCUGAUAUGUAGGUGAAGUCCCUCGCGGAUGGAGCUGAAAUCAGUCGAAGAUACCAGCUGGCUGCAACUGUUUAUUAAAAACACAGCACUGUGCAAACACGAAAGUGGACGUAUACGGUGUGACGCCUGCCCGGUGCCGGAAGGUUAAUUGAUGGGGU